AAACCCUCACCAGAGUACCAAUUGGAGGGCAAGUCUGGUGCCAGCAGCCGCGGUAAUUCCAGCUCCAAUAGCGUAUAUUAAACUUGUUGCAGUUAAAAAGCUCGUAGUUGAAUUUCAGCGUUUCGCGUGUGCCUCUUUUGGCCCAUCUCGUCUCGCUUUUUUUAUUACUUUGAGAAAAUUAGAGUGUUUCAAGCAGGCUUUUGUCUUGAAUACUUGAGCAUGGAAUAAUAGAGUAGGACCUUGGUUCUAUUUUGUUGGUUUUGUUACCUUGGUAAUGGUUAAUAGGAACGGUUGGGGGCAUUCGUAUUUAACUGUCAGAGGUGAAAUUCUUAGAUUUGUUAAAGACGAACUACUGCGAAAGCAUUUGCCAAGGACGUUUCCAUUAAUCAAGAACGAAAGUUAGGGGAUCGAAGACGAUCAGAUACCGUCGUAGUCCUAACCAUAAACUAA
This 450-nucleotide ribosomal RNA is filed under the name Babesia occultans. Its description in RNAcentral is "SSU rRNA". It matches the Rfam family "Eukaryotic small subunit ribosomal RNA", at positions 527 to 1040 of the family's 1831-position model. Lineage: Eukaryota; Apicomplexa; Aconoidasida; Piroplasmida; Babesiidae. The record is from RNAcentral.